CUACUGAAAUGACUCAAUAAUAACAAUAAUAGUCAUCUAUUUGAGGGAUAUAAUAUGAUGUAAUAGAAAGAACAUUACUUUAGAAUUAAGAAGACUUGGGAUCAUAAGCUUAAUUUCAGUACCUUUUAGCUGUGUCAUUGGACAAAUUACUUGUAUGAAACUCAGUUUACUUCUCUGUAAAAUUAAUAUAAUAAUGCUUGCUUCAAAAGUUUGAAAGGGAAGCUCUUUAUAAAACUUGUGCUGUUUUUAAUAAAUGGCAAUAUCCUUAAUACUUAAUUUAUAACAAGAAGUAAAUAUCAUUACCUUUCAGGAAUUAAGCUAUUUUUCUUACUGAAGUACUUAAACAUUGGCUAGAGACUGCCUGGGGUGGAUGAGUACAUGGAAAGGGGGAAGGAAAUAUAUAGAAUCAUAAAGAAUUAUGAGAUUUAGAACUAGAAGGUACCUUAGAGAUCAUUUAAUCUAUCCCCUUUCUAUUUGACAGAUGAGAAAACUAAAUCUCAGGGGAAGAAGUGACUUUCCUGCACUGUGUCAAACUUCAAGAAGAGACAUGUUGGGAACCAAAACAAUGUUCUUCUUCCAUAAAUGAGGCCUGGACCUUGCACAGCAAUUUAUUGGUAAGGGUCUUCCAAAGCUUGGUAAAUAUCUUUCCAUUAAUAUAUCUUUGUUUGUACAUUGUCUACCUUUUGAAGAGCUCAAUCCUUUUUCUUCCAGUUUCAGAUUCUUCUUUGUCCUGAGGUAGACAAAAAGACAGUUCAUUUUAUCCAUCUUAAUAACAGAAACCUGUUAGCUCAAUUCAAAUUUCUAGCAUUUUAGCUAUGUGACCCUAGAAAUAUCAUUUAACUUCUCUGAGCUUCAGAUUCCUUAUCUGUAAAAUGGGCAAAAUAUUAACAUCUGUACCUAACUCAGUGGGUUAUUGUGAGGACUAAAUGAGUUACUGUGAAUAAUAGUUAUUUUUAUGUGGAACCUAAGAGAAUCAAGGUGUUUGGAGAAGGUGAUUUUUUAGUUCUCUUGUCAGUUUUUCAUUCCAACAUUUGCUCAGUGAUUUGGGCUCAAGAUUGAAGUGGGCAAUGGAGCAUAGUGACUUCUUGCCCAGGAAACUCAGCCAAAAGGUCUGAUAACAUGUGAGUUUCCCAGAUUGCUUAUGGAAGUUAUCCCAUCUCAUUCCUACCUCAUUGCAUUUGUUUUCUUGUCCACAAUACCUAGUGCCCUUAUCUUUGUUGUUGUUUGGUUAUUCAUUGUACCCAGCUCU
Molecule: long non-coding RNA, 1249 nt
Filed under: Monodelphis domestica (gray short-tailed opossum)
Lineage: Eukaryota; Metazoa; Chordata; Mammalia; Didelphimorphia; Didelphidae
Description: lncRNA (ENSMODG00000036707.1)
Source: RNAcentral